CGAAAGCAUCGUUACCCAUCGUGCCACAAAAGCCGCGGCCCUUGCAGAGCAAAGGGGAACAACUACUUAAGGUCGCAGAGCGAGUGACGUCACCCGAUUGAAACGCUACUAGCGCGCACCACCGCUAACCAACUAGCCAUUUCACAUCGGUUACACUUACACAGGCUAGCGAUGAGCCUAUACUCACUAACACUGACCGUACACUGGUACAGGCUAGCGAUGAGUCUAUACUAGCUAGUGAUGACUCUAAAGUGGACACACAGCUGGAAAGACUUCUGGAGACAUGAGAUACCUCACCCACAAUCCCAACCCCACCACACGCCUCGCCGUCCCCCAGGUCCACACCCAGAGAGACAGAGUUACAGUCCUGCACACUGAAAGAGACAGACCAGAGGAACAUACAGGACAGACAAACAGACAGGACACAGGACAGACCAACAGACAGGACACCGGACAGACCAACAGACAGGACAGACCAACAGACAGGACACAGGACAGACCAACAGACAGGACACAGGACAGACCAACAGACAGGACAGACCAACAGACAGGACACAGGACAGACCAACAGACAGGACACCGGACAGACCAACAGACAGGACAGACCAACAGACAAACAGACAGGACAGACCAACAGACAGGACAGACCAACAGACAGGACAGACCAACAGACAGGACAGACCAACAGACAGGACACAGGACAGACCAACAGACAGGACAGACCAACAGACAGGACAGACCAACAGACAGGACAGACCAACAGACAGGACACAGGACAGACCAACAGACAGGACACCGGACAGACCAACAGACAGGACAGACCAACAGACAAACAGACAGUACAGACCAACAGACAGGACAGACCAACAGACAGGACAGACCAACAGACAGGACACAGGACAGACCAACAGACAGGACAGACCAACAGACAGGACAGACCAACAGACAGACCAACAGACAGAACACAGGACAGACCAACAGACAGGACACAGGACAGACCAACAGACAGGACACCGGACAGACCAACAGACAGGACAGACCAGUAGACAGGACACAGGACAGACCAACAGACAGGACAGACCAACAGACAGGACAGACCAACAGACAGGACAGACCAACAGACCAACAGACAAACAGACAGGACAGACCAACAGACAGACCAACAGACAGGACACCGGACAGACCAACAGACAGGACAGACCAACAGACAAACAGACAGGACAGACCAACAGACAGGACAGACCAACAGACAGGACAGACCAACAGACAGGACAGACCAACAGACAAACAGACAGGACAGACCAACAGACAGGACAGACCAACAGACAGGACAGACCAACAGACAGGACAGACCAACAGACAGGACAGACCAACAGACAAACAGAUAGGACAGAGGAUAGACCAACAGACAGGACACAGGGAGACAACAAGGGCGCCAGGCUCGGACCACAAAUCUCUAACCUCUAACCUCUGAACUCUGACCGGGAACAUUUUUUUUGUGACCUGUGAGGUCAUCAAAUGCCUGACCAUCUGGAUUUAGCACACAGAACUCUGGGAAAAACAGCUGCUUCUCACACACACACGCCACUCAGUGU
This 1595-nucleotide long non-coding RNA is filed under the name Salmo salar (Atlantic salmon). RNAcentral describes it as "lncRNA (ENSSSAG00000115326.1)". Lineage: Eukaryota; Metazoa; Chordata; Actinopteri; Salmoniformes; Salmonidae. The record is from RNAcentral.